This 468-nucleotide ribosomal RNA is filed under the name uncultured bacterium. Its description in RNAcentral is "partial 16S ribosomal RNA". It matches the Rfam family "Bacterial small subunit ribosomal RNA", at positions 28 to 507 of the family's 1533-position model. The record is from RNAcentral.
GACGAACGCUGGCGGCGUGCUUAACACAUGCAAGUCGAACGGAAAGGCCCUGCUUUUGUGGGGUUCUCGAGUGGCGAACGGGUGAGUAACACGUGAGUAACCUGCCCUUGACUUUUGGAUAACUUCAGGUAACUGGGGCUAAUACCGGAUAGGAGCUCCUGCUGCAUGGUGGGGGUUGGAAAGUUUCCGCGGUUGGGGAUGGACUUGCGGCUUAUCAGCUUGUUGGUGGGGUAGUGGCUUACCAAGUCUUUGACGGGUAGCCGGCCUGAGAGGGUGGACGGCGACAUUGGGACUAAGGUAUGGCGCAGACGCGUACGGUAGGCAGCAGUGGGGAAUAUUGCACAAUAAGCGGACGCCUGUUGCAAAAACGCCGCGUUCGUGAUGCCGGCUUUCUGGUUGAGAACCGCUUUCGCCUGUAACGUACCCUGAGUGACGGUAAUGGGUAAAAAAGCCCCGGCUAACUACGUG